AUUAGUUGGCCAUACCGCCUUUGCUAUGCCCAAUCCCGUCAGAACUUGGAAGCUAAGCAGGGUAGGGCCUGGUUGGUACUUGGAUGGGAGACCGUUUGGUAACACCAGGAAGCCUAGCAAAUG
Neogobius melanostomus (round goby) is the source of this 123-nucleotide ribosomal RNA. NCBI's taxonomy places the organism in Eukaryota, Metazoa, Chordata, Actinopteri, Gobiiformes, Gobiidae. The record is from Ensembl.